RNAcentral lists this ribosomal RNA (550 nucleotides) under uncultured bacterium. RNAcentral's name for it is "bacterial SSU rRNA". It matches the Rfam family "Bacterial small subunit ribosomal RNA", at positions 355 to 896 of the family's 1533-position model. The record is from RNAcentral.
UGGGGAAUAUUGGACAAUGGGGGGAACCCUGAUCCAGCCAUGCCGCGUGUGUGAAGAAGGCCUUUUGGUUGUAAAGCACUUUAAGCGAGGAGGAGGCUACCUAGAUUAAUACUUUAGGAUAGUGGACGUUACUCGCAGAAUAAGCACCGGCUAACUCUGUGCCAGCAGCCGCGGUAAUACAGAGGGUGCGAGCGUUAAUCGGAUUUACUGGGCGUAAAGCGUGCGUAGGCGGCCAAUUAAGUCAAAUGUGAAAUCCCCGAGCUUAACUUGGGAAUUGCAUUCGAUACUGGUUGGCUAGAGUAUGGGAGAGGAUGGUAGAAUUCCAGGUGUAGCGGUGAAAUGCGUAGAGAUCUGGAGGAAUACCGAUGGCGAAGGCAGCCAUCUGGCCUAAUACUGACGCUGAGGUACGAAAGCAUGGGGAGCAAACAGGAUUAGAUACCCUGGUAGUCCAUGCCGUAAACGAUGUCUACUAGCCGUUGGGGCCCUUGAGGCUUUAGUGGCGCAGCUAACGCGAUAAGUAGACCGCCUGGGGAGUACGGUCGCAAGACUA